GCGGCAUACGGAGGCUCAAUGAAUUUAAAGUAGGCACCAUUGGCCUUCAGAAGACUUGAAGUCUUCUUCCACCAAAAAAACAACCAUAUAAGUGACAUAGUUUUUAAUGUCUAUGUCAUUUGGGCUCUUGUGGAGAGUUGUCUAAUUGGCAAUUAUACCACAUCUUCUUUUUUAUAUAGACCACCAAGCCUUGUUUUCAUUGAAAAUAAAUGAAACAAGCAAAUGAACUCUUUUCAAAGUUAGUUUAGUC
Molecule: long non-coding RNA, 250 nt
Filed under: Mytilus galloprovincialis (Mediterranean mussel)
Lineage: Eukaryota; Metazoa; Mollusca; Bivalvia; Mytilida; Mytilidae
Source: RNAcentral